Long non-coding RNA from Mya arenaria, 620 nucleotides. RefSeq lists it as uncharacterized. The record is from RefSeq and is a predicted model, not a curated record. The transcript is spliced from 6 exons. NCBI's taxonomy places the organism in Eukaryota, Metazoa, Mollusca, Bivalvia, Myida, Myidae.
GAAAAGUCAACACUGCCUGAAUCUGCGGGAUGCAAGUCCAGAUAACCCAUCUUAAGGGUCCAGGCCAUAAGCUGAUGCAGAGGAAACAUAGAUAACUGAUAUAAGAUAUGUGAGGGAAGCGGACAUUGUAGAGGUGGUGUUGCGUUGAUGGCAGCCAGUGAUUAUUGAGGACGUCCUCGUCGAAGCGUUCCAGGAGCGGGAAGACCGGGAAGUGGACAAUGUCAUCCGUGAGGUGGGACCAGGCUGAUGGACAUUAUGGAAAACAAUACAACCGGGUAUGCAGGGGCAACAUUAACAUGAAUCAUCACGCCACAGGCUUGUAAAACUAGGAAGGAAAAGAUGGAGGAGCGGGAUGUGGACCAGCUUAUCCGAGGGAAGGAACAAGUCUGAGGCCACUAACCUAUUUGGGACUUGACCCAGCAGUUCUUUUCCCCCAUCAUGCCCAGCAGACUGGUCCAACAUUUUUCAAGUUCCACAGAAAUGUGCUGCCUGGAAAUUGGCUGCCUUUUGGAGUAUGUGCAUAAGGCUCAGGACUACAUAUGCGGAUUGAGAUAUCUAGGACGGCCAUUAGGAGCUCCUUGGCCAUUUUCCAUCGAAAACAACCUCAGAUGUUUAUGGAC